GACGAACGCUGGCGGCGUGCUUAACACAUGCAAGUCGAGCGGGCCCUUCGGGGUCAGCGGCAGACGGGUGAGUAACGCGUGGGAACGUGCCCUUCGGUUCGGAAUAACCCUGGGAAACUAGGGCUAAUACCGGAUACGCCCUUAUGGGGAAAGGUUUACCGCCGAAGGAUCGGCCCGCGUCUGAUUAGCUUGUUGGUGAGGUAACGGCUCACCAAGGCGACGAUCAGUAGCUGGUCUGAGAGGAUGAUCAGCCACACUGGGACUGAGACACGGCCCAGACUCCUACGGGAGGCAGCAGUGGGGAAUAUUGGACAAUGGGGGCAACCCUGAUCCAGCCAUGCCGCGUGAGUGAUGACGGCCUUAGGGUUGUAAAGCUCUUUUACCCGGGACGAUAAUGACGGUACCGGGUGAAUAAGCCCCGGCUAACUUCGUGCCAGCCGCCGCAGUAA
RNAcentral lists this ribosomal RNA (449 nucleotides) under uncultured bacterium. Its description in RNAcentral is "partial 16S ribosomal RNA". It matches the Rfam family "Bacterial small subunit ribosomal RNA", at positions 28 to 523 of the family's 1533-position model. The record is from RNAcentral.